Molecule: long non-coding RNA, 290 nt
Organism: Spea bombifrons (plains spadefoot toad)
Lineage: Eukaryota; Metazoa; Chordata; Amphibia; Anura; Pelobatidae
Exons: 3
Source: RefSeq, a predicted model, not a curated record
CGGCAGUUCCCGGAAGUGGAAAUCCACAGGUUCCCCGUCACGGGUGACCAAUAGGCUGACUCGCACGGUCUUUGUAACCCCUGACAGCGAACCUAUGGAUUUCCGCUCCCGUUAACCCCUUCGAUGCUGCGUUAUCUAACACAGCAUCGAAGGGGUUAACGGGAGCGGAAAUCCAUAGGUUAAAGGGCCGUGCAAGCGACCAAUAGGCUCACUCGCACGGCCCCUUAACCCCUUAAGGUGCAACAAGUGCACCAGGAGCCUAAAAGUCUCUACGAGCGACCAACAGAGUC